This 256-nucleotide ribosomal RNA is filed under the name uncultured bacterium. RNAcentral describes it as "partial 16S ribosomal RNA". It matches the Rfam family "Bacterial small subunit ribosomal RNA", at positions 524 to 776 of the family's 1533-position model. The record is from RNAcentral.
UACGUAGGGCGCAAGCGUUGUCCGGAAUUAUUGGGCGUAAAGAGCUCGUAGGCGGUUUGUCGGCGUCUGCUGUGAAAACCUAAGGCUCAACCUUGGGCUUGCAGUGGGUACGGGCAGACUAGAGUGCGGUAGGGGUGACUGGAAUUCCUGGUGUAGCGGUGGAAUGCGCAGAUAUCAGGAGGAACACCGGUGGCGAAGGCGGGGUCUCUGGGCCGAUACUGACGCUGGAGGAGCGAAAGCGUGGGGAGCGAACAGG